Molecule: ribosomal RNA, 392 nt
Filed under: uncultured bacterium
Lineage: Bacteria
Description: partial 16S ribosomal RNA
Rfam family: Bacterial small subunit ribosomal RNA
Source: RNAcentral
AUACGGAGGAUCCGAGCGUUAUCCGGAUUUAUUGGGUUUAAAGGGUGCGCAGGCGGCCAUUUAAGUCAGCGGUUAAAUCGUGGGGCUCAACCCCAUUCUGCCGUUGAUACUGGGUGGCUUGAUUGCGGUCGAGGUUGGCGGAAUUCGUUGUGUAGCGGGGAAAUGCAUAGAUAUGACGAAGAACACCGAUUGCGUAGGCAGCUGACCAGACCGCAAAUGACGCUCAUGCACGAAAGUGCGGGGAUCGAACAGGAUUAGAUACCCUGGUAGUCCGCACAGUAAACGAUGAAUACUUGUUUUCGGCGAUAUAAUGUCGGAGGCAAAGCGAAAGCGAUAAGUAUUCCACCUGGGGAGUACGCCGGCAACGGUGAAACUCAAAUGAAUUGGCGGGG